GUUAUCAUUCUAUAGUCAACUUUGCAAAUGGCAUUAUUGUUCUCUAAACCAAUAAGGUUUUAUUUUUUAAAAAUCAAUGGAAAUUGGCAACUGUGGUGGGAGAUUUGAAUGGCAUUUCUGCUGUUUCCAUUGGGAAAAUGGCUGAAUGACUUCUUAUCUCUCUUUGGUGGAUUACCGGACUUGAUAUAUUUAUUAAAGGCCAUUGAAUUGUUGUUUCAGGGAUGGAUUUUGACCCAAUGGAAUAUCCACACUGAAGAAGAAAAGAAGUCCUCGUGGAUGAUGUGAGCAUGCUGGAUUGCUGCGAGGGCUUUAAUCCUAGGAGAUUUAUGUCUGUGACUUCACUGUGAAAACAAAACUAUUUUCCCCGACCUGUCAGAAGGCAACAAUUAGAAGAGGAAUGUGAGGUUUACUUUUGAUGAAGCAUGUGAUUCCUGAUAAAGACUCCCUUACCAAUGAGGUGGUUUGUAGCUAAAAUAUAAAGACCACAGGCUAAAAAAAGAAAAAGAAUAGAGAUCACAUAACAGAAUUCCUCUUACCCUACUUUAGAACACAGAAACAAAGGGUGGGCUUUGGGGAUAAAAUACAUAGCACACUUUGGUAUAUUUUUUCUGCAUUAAGAUGCAAGUCAUUUUGUACUUGGAAGCUGGUUUUGUGUUAAUUCACGUAGGGUAGAUCUAUUUUCCCCUGUUGUUA
This 693-nucleotide long non-coding RNA is filed under the name Ictidomys tridecemlineatus (thirteen-lined ground squirrel). RNAcentral's name for it is "lncRNA (ENSSTOG00000031652.1)". The record is from RNAcentral. Lineage: Eukaryota; Metazoa; Chordata; Mammalia; Rodentia; Sciuridae.